CGAGUCUGGCUCCAGAGCCUGAGCUCGCAAGACAGCGUCUAGAAGCUGUUUAAAGCACGACCAAUAGUAUCUGAUGCUCUGGUGUUGCAGAUGUCUUAGUAAAGCAGAGGGUGGCCAAGGUGGGGCUCUGUGUGCCAACCGCUUCCUUCUAAUCUACCAGCCUUCCAAGACAGAAGCAUGUCUGGACCGUUCACCUCCGUGGCCCAGCAGACCCCCCAUCGUGCCUUGUGGCUCCCUGAACACCUGUUGCACAGAACGUGCCCAGCAAUUAUUUCCACGGAUAGUGAUUCCAAGUAAAAUAAGGAGAGAAAAGUACACAGCUGCCCUCCAAGACCUCGAGGGACUUGGGAGGGAGAGUGAGGGCAUCAGAAAACAAGGGCUGAUGUCAAGGCCAGCUGAAUCAAUAAUGGUCUCACAUCUUAUAGUGAGAGAGUCAUUAUAAAGAAAAACAACGCUAUCUCAAAACAGUGGCAAUGUCAAAGCACAACCCUACUACAUCUUUGAUUUCCAAAAAAAAAAAGGAGACUGGGAAGAUCCCUUGUGAACCUGACUCCAAUCUAGCAAAUGGUCCAUCCUAACGGCACAGGCACCCAGAGCGGGCUCGUCAUCACGUGUGGACGUCCGCUGGUCUCCCCGCCAUUGGUUCUCACGUUGCACAACAAGGCUCACAACAAGGAUGGAGACCACACACACAGUUUUCCCCGAUGCGCAGGCGGUGUCAGUCCCCAGACUGGGCCCACCCGCUGCCGACGUCUGCUGCGUCCAGGUCAGGAUUUCAGCAGAGGGUCCCGGCCCGCAGCCUGUUCCCCUUCUCUUGCAUCCCCACGUGAUCCGCAUCGUGAGGGGCCCCGUGCACGCCUGUGGACACCGCAGCCUGCACACCCCCAUCCCUAGCUGCUCAGCCAAGGUGUAGGCACACCAGGGGCCCAGGCAGGACUCCCGGAAGCCAGGGACAUUCAGGCAGAGAAUUCAACCGUGAGAUCUGAAAAGGGAAGGUCAUGGGCCCGUGAAGAGGCCACAGACAGAAGGGGGCCUUCCAGAGUGUGGGGUGCCUAUUGGGCCGUGUGCCUUUCAGUGUCCUUGACCCAGAGCUCAGACGUCUUAGGCCAUCCCGCAAGUAAGCUGCAAUGGCCUCUGAAGAGAAGCUCCCUGCCUCCUUCCCUCAGGGGAAAGUGCUAGAGAGCCCAGGAGACUCACAGCCCAAGAUCUGUCCCCUUUAACCAGCAGACCCCGCAGUGACAAGACCUUCCUGAUCCCGGUCCUCUAGAAGACCAAGACCAUCCCCAGGCUCCCCACGUGGUUGGCCGCACUCCCAGGCUGUUAAGGCACUAGGCCAAUAGGAGACUUGUUUUCCAAUGGGGAUCCCGGGAGGAGGAGGUGUGGCUCUCAAUGGGAACAGCCCAGGGUCCAUGGGAAGGACAGCGGAACCCCGAGUGGGUUCCAGGAAGGACACCUGCAGAAAGGACUCUCCAAAGAACUGAACAAGAGAGUGGAUGCAAACACACCUGGCCCACAGGAGGGACUCGAACGCCUCUGGUGACGUGGCUGGCAGCAGCGACAUUGUCUUGAGUGACUCUGUGCCAGGCACCUGCAGCGUGCGCUUUGCUAGAUCAUUCCUUUGAUCACAACAAUCAGCGGAGCUUUGCUCUCAUAUGGCCGUUGAGAGGAGUGAGGCCAGGAUCCCCCAGCUGGUCAGCAGCCAGGCCAGGAAUCGCACGCGGGUCCGUCCAUCUGCCUCCCAAUCCUCCUUCCCAGUCCCCACCCCCCGCCACACCAUGCUCAACGCCUCAGCUGGUCUUCCUGCAGACUCUGAGGAGAACCCCCCACACGCCUACCUGCCCCCAGCUCCCAGGACAGGCUGGAGGUUAAACAACGCGGCCAAGACUCCAGGCCCCCUGCUUUGCCAACACCCUAGAGCUCUCUGUGUUCCUGUCCUGUGUGCAAAGCUCCUGGAAAACCCAUCCCCAGGAGGACAAGCUUGCAGAUAAGCCAACCAACCACACCCAGAAAAGUGUCUCACCUCAGCACAUUUUUUUUAAGUUUAUUUAUUUUGAGAGAUACGGAGACCGCGCUAGUGGGGGAGGGCAGAGAGAGAGGAGAGAGAGAGUCCCAAGCAGGCUCCACGCGGUCAGUACAGAGCCAGACGCGGGGCUCGAACCCAUGAACCUGUGAGAUCACGACCUGAGCCGAAACCAAGAGUCUGAUGCUUAACCGACUGAGCCACCCAGGCGCCCUUCACCUCCGCACAUUUUGAGUACACUUUACAAGGAGACCCACAGCCAGCUACUUGGUGGACCAAAGACUCGGGUAGCAAUAUAGGGUACGGCUCACAACCACCUGAGUCUGUCUGGUUCCCAAAAAUCAUGCAAAAUAGACCCUGUUUUCACUAC
Neofelis nebulosa (Clouded leopard) is the source of this 2390-nucleotide long non-coding RNA. RefSeq lists it as uncharacterized. Lineage: Eukaryota; Metazoa; Chordata; Mammalia; Carnivora; Felidae. The transcript has 2 exons. The record is from RefSeq and is a predicted model, not a curated record.